AGUUGGUAUCAGACAGUAAAUUAGCAUGCUUCCAUACAUGAGACCAUCUGGGACAUAUUCAGAUUUUUCCAGCCCAUGGCUGGUUCUCACCAAAGCAAGUUCUGCUCUGCUGUCAAGUGAUGAGGUGCAGAGCAGAGAAACGGGAGAACAAGAAAGAAAGAAAGAGGUGGUAACUCACUUCUCUGCCUAGUUUGGAAAACAAUAUCUGACUUUAAAAUGAAUGAUAUAAAAUGUUCAUCUUCCCUUCAGAAAAUACAAGUGUUGCUAAGUGCUGCUGUAGUGCUAUAUUGAUGAUAAUGAAAUUCAUGCAAUUUUUUUUUCACUGCUAUAGCUUUUCAUCUCCUGAUACUACACCCUACACAGCCCUAACAGUGGCAUAGGCUGUAUCUGUUUAAAUAUAAGAUGCAGACUCACUUAGAGAAAUAAAUGUUAUGCUGUUUUCUUUUUCUGGAGGGAUUGUCAUGGUUUUGUAACUUUGCUAUUGGUAUUCCACAUCAUAACAUCAUGGACAAAAGAGAAGAAGAACUACGUAUCCCAGAGGAACUCAUGGUCAGAGAAGGAAGAUACAUCACAGAAGAUACGUCAUCUGGCUGCGCGCGGUCUUUUUCACUUUCACUUGCUGCCAGAGAGAGGAGUGGGUGUGCUUCCAAGCCGUGCGCCUUCAUCAGAUGUAUUGAGUGGAAACAAAAACUCAUGCUCAGAUCAACAGCAACUGAAGUCAACCUUGGCUUUGUCCAUCCAAGUCAUGAAAAUCUUCAGGGAUGGAGAUACCUCAACCCCCCUGGCUACCAAGCUGUUUGAUUACCUCCACCCUUGUGAGUGUCCUUCCAAGAACUGCUAGACACUGCUAAGUUUGCCCUUGCUGCCCAUUCCUUUAUUGGAGAUCGAACCUUCCGCUGGACCCUUCUCAGACUCCUGAAUUUGGCACCGUUACUUCACGUCUGACCUUAGCACAAUGCUGAGUAGAAAGGAGACGUUAUUUCUGCUGAUUUCCUGGUGAUGAAUCUCCUCAGCUUGCUUCCUUAGUUAUUCCUUGUGAUAAGACUCUUAACUGAUUUGUGGAGGUGGCAAAUGAUGGGUGCUACCAUGUGACAAUCAACAUCACUUUGACAUUUGAAAGCACCUUCCUCCAGAGCUGCUUGCCUCCGGAAGAGCGUGCUCAGGAGUGGUUACUGGAGGAAGAUCUGGCCUAAUACCCCAGCUUGGUGUGGGAAAACUGGGGAACAACACCAUCGUGCCCUGUGAAAAACAGGAUGCAGAUGGGCAUCCCUCCUUUCUCUUAUCUGCUGGCAAGGCCCGGAAGAUGAUAACAAAGGAAUUUCUGCUGAGAUCCCAGAGCCAGUAGCUGCCACUCCAAGGAGAGCUGACUCAACCACUUCGGAUUUGAGCUGUCACUCAAAAGAGAGCUGACUGGACCACUUUGGACUUAUAAAUAAGUUUGUACUGCCAUCGUCGUUGUCGUCAUCGCUGUGGUUACCAUCGUCAACAGAACACCCGACGACCCACCACUACUGAAGAUCAAUGACUGAACUAUGAACCACGUUGGACCAAGGUGUUGACUACCUCCCUCCUGCUUCCUAUACGGACUCCUUGCUUCUAUUUCCUAUCUUUUCUGUCAGCCUUCUCCCCGUCCCCAUCUCCCUGAACGACUAGGAUAAUAGUAAUAAACCGGUAGGAUCAGCAUUUGAACCGUUGUUUCUUAAUCUCAUGCCGGGUAUACACACAUCAAAGAACCUCCUCUCCCUCCGAUAAAUUGGAGAGAGACAGAGUUUCAGCCUAUGUGAACUGAAAGGUCCUGAUCUUGUUUUUAAGAAUAUUACAACAGACUGCAGAGGGCAUAUAAUGUGUGCAUUUUGCGAUAUAGUAAGUAUUAGCAAUAAUUGGCAACUCACAGGAUCACAGAAUCACAGAAUGGCCUGGGUUGGAAGGGACCUCAAGGAUCAUGAAUCUCCAACCCCCCUGCCUGGCAGGGCCACCAAGCUCCCCAUUUACUAGACCAGGUUGCCUAGGGCCCCAUCCAACCUGGCCUUGAACACCUCCAGGGACGGGGCAUCCACAACCUCUCUGGGCAGCCCGUUCCAGCACCUCACCACUCUUCUGGUAAAGAACUUCCCCCUAACAUCCAACCUAAAUCUUCCCUCUUUCAACUUAAAACUGUUCCCCCUUGUCCUGCUGUUAUCUACCCUUUCAAAGAGUUUACUCCCUUCUUGUUUAUAGGCUACUUUCAGGUACUGAAAGGCUGCAAUGACGUCACCCCGCUGCCUUCUCUUCUCCAGGCUGAAUAAGCCCAGCUUCCUAAGCCUGUCUUCGUAGGGGAGGUGCUCCAGCCCCCUGAUCAUCUUCAUGGCACUUCUCUGGACCCUCUCCAACAGCUCCCUGUCUUUCUUGUACUGGGGACUCCAUACCUGGACACAGUACUCCAGAUGGGGCCUCACAAGAGGAGAGUAGAGAUGGACAAUCACCUCCCUGUCCCUGCUGGCCCCCCCUCUCAUGAUGGAGCCCAGGAUACCAUUUGCUUUCCGAGCUGCAAGAGCACACUGCUGGCUUAUGUUAAGUUUGUCAUCCAUCAGGACCCCCAGGUCCUUCUCUGCAGAGCUGCUCUCAAGGACUGCUCCUUCCAGUCUGUAUAGACUCUCUAUUCUAGAUAGGUUCUCAAUACUAGAAAAUAAGCUUUCAAAAAUGCACCUAUGCUUUUAUUUGUAAUGUUAGUUUCCUAAAUAAAUAUUUUUUUAAAAAAUAAUUAAAAUGCAUUCAUAUGCCCCAAAACAUACAUUUCAAGUAGUGUAAUGCAUCACACUUCCUCUUAGACAAAAUCAAAACAAUACUAGAUAUUUUUUUUUUAACUUUGAUGACCCUGAUCAUAAUGGUUCAGCAACACGUCAGAAAACCUUUAUUUUUCUUUAAUUGGUCAUUUAAAUUUAAAAAAUAUAUCUAGACAUAUCAGAUAAAUAUUUCAGAAAAAAGCA
Long non-coding RNA from Gallus gallus (chicken), 2966 nucleotides. NCBI's taxonomy places the organism in Eukaryota, Metazoa, Chordata, Aves, Galliformes, Phasianidae. The record is from Ensembl.